Molecule: long non-coding RNA, 455 nt
Organism: Nycticebus coucang (slow loris)
Lineage: Eukaryota; Metazoa; Chordata; Mammalia; Primates; Lorisidae
Exons: 3
Source: RefSeq, a predicted model, not a curated record
UUAAAGAGAGUUUAUUCUACUUAAACAUGAAGCAAGAGGAAUUCUUUAAUUAGCUUUUCUAUCUUAAAAUCCCUUCUUUGGAGAGUCAACUUAAUUAUUUUGUCAUUAUUGAUUUUUAACGUGAUGAAACAACCCAGCCUAAAACAGUAACGUGUUGGAGUUUUACUUGAUCCACAGAAAGAGCCUCCGUUUUCACUGGCCCAGCUUGGAGACCACAUCUCCACUUGGAGAAAUCAGAAUGUACCCACUUGACCAGGUCUUCAAGCUUCACAAUCACUUUUUCGGAAACAGCAAUGACUUCAUCCUACAAGAGGUGGUUGGGGAGAACAACAAUUAUGUAUGGGUUUGAGGAACCUGCUGGGACCUGCUAGGAACCUUUCUCUCUGCUGGGACCUCCAGGGAAAGUUGGGCCAGAAGACAUUUAAGAACAAAUACCUCGGCUUCUCAUUCUCUUC